This 1550-nucleotide ribosomal RNA is filed under the name Candidatus Endecteinascidia fromenterensis. Its description in RNAcentral is "Candidatus Endoecteinascidia frumentensis 16S ribosomal RNA". It matches the Rfam family "Bacterial small subunit ribosomal RNA". Lineage: Bacteria; Pseudomonadati; Pseudomonadota; Gammaproteobacteria; Thiotrichales. The record is from RNAcentral.
UUUAAUUGAAGAGUUUGAUCCUGGCUCAGAUUGAACGCUGGUGGCAUGCUUAACACAUGCAAGUCGAACGGUAACAUAAUAAAUGUUUUUUACAUUUAUGGAUGACGAGUGGCGGACGGGUGAGUAACGCGUAGGAACCUACCUUUUAGUGGGGGAUAGCAGUGGGAAACUACUGGUAAUACCGCAUGAUACUUUAGAGUUAAAACUAGCUGAAUUUUAUAGCUUGUGCUAAAAGACGGGCCUGCGUUAGAUUAGCUUGUUGGUAAGGUAACGGCUUACCAAGGCAACGAUCUAUAGCUGUUCUGAGAGGAAGAUCAGCCACACUGGGACUGAGAUACGGCCCAGACUCCUACGGGAGGCAGCAGUGGGGAAUAUUGGACAAUGGGCGGAAGCCUGAUCCAGCAAUGCCACGUGUGUGAAGAAGGCCUUCGGGUUGUAAAGCACUUUUAUUAGCGAAGAAGAUAUAAUGGUUAAGAGCUUAAUAUAUUUGACGUUAGCUAAAGAAAAAGCACCGGCUAACUCCGUGCCAGCAGCCGCGGUAAUACGGAGGGUGCAAGCGUUAAUCGGAAUUAUUGGGCGUAAAGAGCCUGUAGGUGGAUAAUUAAGUCAGAUGUGAAAUCCCAAAGCUUAACUUUGGAACUGCAUUUGAAACUAAUUAUCUAGAGUAUAGUAGAGGGUAGAGGAAUUUCCGGUGUAGCGGUGAAAUGCGUAGAGAUCGGAAGGAACAUCAGUGGCGAAGGCGUCUACCUGGACUAAAACUGACACUGAGAGGCGAAAGCAUGGGGAGCAAACAGGAUUAGAUACCCUGGUAGUCCAUGCCGUAAACUAUGAGUACUAACUGUUGGAAUUUUUAAAUUUUAGUAGUGGAGCUAACGCAAUAAGUACUCCGCCUGGGGAUUACGGCCGCAAGGCUAAAACUCAAAGGAAUUGACGGGGGCCCGCACAAGCGGUGGAGCAUGUGGUUUAAUUCGAUGCAACGCGAAAAACCUUACCUACUCUUGAAAUCCUUCGUACUUUAUAGAGAUAUAAAGGUGCCUUUGGAACGAAGUGACAGGUGCUGCAUGGCUGUCGUCAGCUCGUGUCGUGAGAUGUUGGGUUAAGUCCCGUAACGAGCGCAACCCUUGCCCUUAGUUGCCAGCGUGUAAAGACGGGGACUCUGAGGGGACUGCCGGUGAUAAACCGGAGGAAGGCGAGGACGACGUCAAGUCAUCAUGGUCCUUACGAGUAGGGCUACACACGUGCUACAAUGGUAUGUACAAAGGGAGGCAAAAUUGUAAAAUCUAGCAAAUCCCCAAAAGCAUAUCUUAGUCCGGAUUGAAGUCUGCAACUCGACUUCAUGAAGUUGGAAUCGCUAGUAAUCGCGAAUCAGCAUGUCGCGGUGAAUACGUUCCCGGGCCUUGUACACACCGCCCGUCACACCACGGAAGUGGAAUGCACCAGAAGUGGCUAGGAUAACCGAAAGGAGUCCGGUUCCUACGGUGUGUUUCGUAACUGGGGUGAAGUCGUAACAAGGUAGCCGUAGGGGAACCUGCGGCUGGAUCACCUCCUUA